RNAcentral lists this ribosomal RNA (68 nucleotides) under uncultured bacterium. RNAcentral's name for it is "partial 16S ribosomal RNA". The record is from RNAcentral.
GCGGCAGGCUUAACACAUGCAAGUCGAACGGUAACAUAAAGAAGCUUGCUUCUUUGAUGACGAGUGGC